Molecule: ribosomal RNA, 248 nt
Filed under: uncultured Lachnospiraceae bacterium
Lineage: Bacteria; Bacillati; Bacillota; Clostridia; Lachnospirales; Lachnospiraceae
Description: partial 16S ribosomal RNA
Rfam family: Bacterial small subunit ribosomal RNA
Source: RNAcentral
UACGUAGGGGGCAAGCGUUAUCCGGAUUUACUGGGUGUAAAGGGAGCGUAGACGGCAGCGCAAGUCUGAAGUGAAAUCCCGCAGCUUAACUGCGGAACUGCUUUGGAAACUGUGCAGCUAGAGUGCAGGAGAGGUAAGCGGAAUUCCUAGUGUAGCGGUGAAAUGCGUAGAUAUUAGGAGGAACACCAGUGGCGAAGGCGGCUUACUGGACUGUAACUGACGUUGAGGCUCGAAAGCGUGGGGAGCAA